Long non-coding RNA from Polypterus senegalus (gray bichir), 516 nucleotides. RefSeq lists it as uncharacterized. The transcript is spliced from 5 exons. The record is from RefSeq and is a predicted model, not a curated record. Lineage: Eukaryota; Metazoa; Chordata; Cladistia; Polypteriformes; Polypteridae.
GAGACAGAGAAGACUAGCAAGUGAAGCAGACAGAAUAAAAGGCUUGGACAACAGCCAAACUCUUCGAAGCUGGCCGGACCUCCGUCCGAAAAUCCUCUCAGCGUGGUAACGAAAAAAUGGCAGACUACAUAGUUCAAGAUUCCCACCUUGAUAAAAACACAUAACUAUUCAACUGGGAGAGUCAGUAGCACUGCUGAGUCAAUGUGACAGAUGGUGCCCCUUGGUCCAUUGUCCUUUGUGUAGUGCUAAUGUGUUUAAGUCCUCCAAACUGGAAAAUUAAAAAAACAUUUGAAGAGUCAUUUCAAGAAGGCAGUUCUCCAUGAAGUAUGCUCUGCACCUUGUCUUCGAUGCGCCAUUUGACUUCACAGCUGACAAAGGUGUUCACUAAAGGGGCACUGGAGAGUUUGAAUGAGACACAGAGCAUUGAGCAGACAGUGCUGGAAAUGGAUUCAAAUGUGAUCCCACAUGAGUUCAUUUUUAUUGAUGAGGCUGGCUUCAACCUUACCAGAACCAGAA